AAAUGUAUAAGAAAGUCGAACCCACAAGUGCAGCUAUGUUACAAAACUAUUUGAUACCCUACAAAAUGGGAAAAGAAGCUAUUUAUACUAAGUUGAAAAUUCUGGACUAAAAUGCCCCUACGGGGUUAGUGCGGACCGCACAAAAUGGUGUGCGGCUGCACUAGGGCUCUGAAUCUGAAGAUCUGACUCUCUGAACUCAGGCAGUGCGGACCACAGAGAAUGGACUGCGGCCGCGGAGGCUUCUAGUGCGGUCUGCACAACAUGGAAUGCGGACCGCAUUGACUUAAAUCCUUGAAACUGGCACCUCUCUGAUCUUGGGUUUUGCGGACGGCACUAAAUUGAGUGUGGCCGCAUUGCCUUCAGUGCGGACCACACAAAUCCUAGUGUGGCCACAUUGCCUUUGUUCCUUGAAAGUCAUGCUCUUUUAACCUCAUAGUACGGACCACACAGAAUAUAGCGCGGCCGCACUGGCCUUGCUUUGAGUGAGCUUUUUCUUGUCUUGGUACUUGUGCAAGUUUCACUCCUUUUGAGCUGAUCUUUGACAUCUUGUCACUUUGUUGAUUAAACCUACAAUCAUGCACAACUUGUGAUCCUUUUGGGACUAUUUUGUAUGAAUUUCUAAUCAAAGCAUAAGCAAGAAAGAGUAUAAAAUGCAUUAAAAUCCCUAGUUAUCAGGCUUACGGAGAUUGAGACUGAGGAUGGCUCGAGUAAAAGAAAACUUUGACAAAGGAUAUAAUAUGCUUCAUAGGUGUAUGAGAAUCAUAGAAUGUCUUGAGUGGUUAUUGGUAAAGGAUUUGCGGUGCAUAGAUCAGGGAGUUGCUUGAUUGCAUUAAGGUGAGGUUACAUUCUGCGGUUUUGGAGUGCUAAUGAAGCACGGGUUGUUCGGUUCAUUUGAUCAGGCUGAUUGCAGUUUAAGUAGAGUGGAUGACUCUCGAGAAUGGUUCUAAUGGGUUCAAGAUGUUAUAUGUAAUAAUUGGAGAUUUCCAAGUUGUAUAUUUGGCUAGAAACUGAGUUUUGCAUUGGAGGGUGUCAAGACUUGUGGUAUUUCUAUAUCAUUAUGGAUUAUACACAUUAGUAUCAGGAAGGUGAAGGUAAUGGCUUUAGAUGUGCAAGAAGUCUCUUCAGGGAAAGUAUUUCCAAUGUGGUGCUUUAGAGGAUAUUUAAUAGAGUAGUCAGCGGCUUAUGAGCUGUAGGACGGUGUGGCUUUAUUCUUGGGUCUCGUGUGGAGAGUCUGGGUCAAGGAUUGUGGUGUUACGGCAAGAAGAAGUAUCAAGUUGAAGGUAAAUCAGAAGGAACUUGGAUAGAUAGGAUAGCUUGGUAGUAGGCCGGAUUGGCAUGGUAAGGACAUGACUAGUUCUUUGGAUGCGUGCGAGGAAAUGAGUUUCUACAGGUGUUUUGCGAACAUUCUCUUGGGUUUUAGUGACCUGCGUAGCUUGGUUGAGUUAGAAGGAUUCAGUCCUGACGGUUUAGUUUUGUGCAAAUGGAAUUCAGAGAGUUCCUGAUGGUUUCUACCAUGGUUAGAUAUGCGUAUUUUCUAUGAGUGUGAGGAGCAUGGGAUGUGUAGUGAUUAUCUUCUAGAUGGGAUCAAUGGAAAGUUCUUAGCUUGUUGAGUACGUAGUUGUUUGUAGCUCGGAGUGGAUUAUGAAGUUCUCAUAUUUAUAUAGGAUGGAAUGGUAUAUGCGGUAUGUUGUGUAGGGUUGAGAUUUGCAUGUGUGAGGUCAUGGUUCAGUUCUGGAAGGAAGGUCAUAAAUACUUAGGCAGCAUGGACAGUUUCUGAUGACUAGGUAAAUGGUAUCACUUGAUAAGGGCAUACGUUUUAGAAAGGGCAAUGUGAUUGAGUUAAUAAUACAUCAUUGGCAUCGUGGCUCUCUCUUGUUGGAUCGACUGCUGAUAUUCAAGUUUGCUUGGUGGCACAGAAGAAUUAUAGGAGUACCUCUCAUGGGAUGAUUGAGUGUUAGAGUGUGUUGCAUAUUCAAGUGAAGUUGGGAUCAGAUAUGGUGAUCCGUGUGCUAUAUGGAUUUGGAGACUGGGAGUUUUCAGACAAGUUAGGUCAUGGUUGUGAACUGCAUACAUUGGUCUUGUGUGGUAACUAUUGUGAGGUUUGGAAACCCGAGUAGAUCAUUAUUGCUUGGUAUGUUAGGUUUUGGAUGUGAUAUUGGGUAUUGACUGGUUGUCUCCGUGUCAUAUUAUUCUGGACUAUUGCGCUAAGGCGAAGAUGUUGCCUAUGCUAGGAAUGCCACAGAUUGAGUGGCGAGGUUCGACGGAUUAUGUCCCCAUUAGGGUGAUUUCAUUUUUGAAGACCUAGCGGGUGACUGGGAAGGGUUGUCUUUCUUAUUUGGCCUUCGUGAUGGAUGUCAGUGCAGAGACUCCAACCAUUGAUUCAGUUCCGGUGGUGAGGGAUUUAUUCGUAUGUGUUUCCAUAUUGCCGAGCAUGUUACCGAACUGGGUUGUUGAUUUCAGUAUUGAUUUGGUGUUGGGCAUCGUAUCAUAAGGCACCGACGGAGUUAAAGAAGUUGAAGGAGAAGCUUCAGGAACUCCUUGGUAAGGGGUUCAUUUGUAGACCUAUAUGGAUGUAUGUUCUGCAUCGAGAUAGCUUUGUUGACUUCAAGUUGUAUUGUUGAGGGAUGUGUUGAUUCGAUUGUUAUUGAGCUUAUUAGUAAUCUGGGGUGAUCUAUGAGUUACCUUUCCGUGUUGCGAGGCAUUGGGAUUUGUUGGUUAUAGGCACAUGUGGUGCGGUGUUAUUGGGUCUCUUAGUGGAAUUUGAGCGGGAGGAGUAUUGGGUAUUGCUCGGCGGAUGACACAUCGGUUGUGUCCUUUCGGGUUGUGUGAUGUUAUGUCAAUUGCUUCGCCAUGAUUAUGAUGAUUUGCUUUGGUUCUGGACAGCAAAUUGCACGUGGUUGUCGAUUUUGAGCAUAGUGACUUGAGGUGUUUCAUGUGGACUAGUUUUAGAUAGGGUCGCGCAUUACAACGAGGUCAUUUGGAGGUAUGACCCAUCAGGUUAGAUUCAUGUAUUCUAUUUCUACGAUGUGUGACAGGUUCUCAGCAUUGUGUGUGGUGAUACUGGUGAGCUUGCGGUACGACUCUCUCAUUUGAGUCAUUUUUUCUAUGAUUUGAGUACAUUCGGAUUUUUACUUAUUGGUGCGUGGGUUGCAUGAGUUGUGGCUUUAGAUUGUAUUGAUGUGUCAUGUAACUAGAGUAGUUGUGUUGGAUUAUAUGAGAUCGUCCGGAUCUAAAAUGAAUAUAAACGGAUUCGGUUUCAGUAUAUUGGAAGGAGAAUAUCGAUGUUUGGCUCAGAAAUUUGCUAGGGUCUUGCCCAAGGAGAAGUGGCUUCAUGAAUGGUUGAACUAAGGAAUGGUUAUUGACUUUUUACGUGUUUCAUUUAUCCUUGGCAGUAUAUGAAAGUGUUGGAAUGAGAUUUUAGUUGAUAAGAGGUUUACUAUCGGUAUUCGAUUGUUGUGUGCAGCUGCUGUGAUUAGAAGUUAUCGCUACAAGUGUUUGAGUUAUGUGGUAUAUCAUAUAAUUGCACUUGAGGUUGCAGAUAUGGGUUAUUACAGUUUGUUCGGGCUUAUUCAGAGUAUAGAUGUGAGAUUUUGAUCUUGUGGAUGAUUUCAGAACUGGAAAAUGUGGUUCCGAGGUUUAUGGUCUAGGUUGGAUUGUGAAAUUUUAGUUACAUUGUGUUAUCGGACCUAUAUGAGAUAGGGUGACGUGGGAUCACCCCCGGGUAUGUACAUGGUAAGGUUAUUCAGCGAUUGGUUGGCUUUUGGAACAACUCCGAUCACUCGUUUUGAGCUUUUUCACUUUACUCGUCAGUUCUCGGGCAUGUCUAGAACCGUGUGAUGUAUUAUGACUUAUGUAGAUCGUCGGUUUUAGUUUUCAGGGUAAUCAGAAUGAAUUUGGAAGAACAGUUCUCAAUUUGAAGCUUAAAAAUUUGAAAGGUUUAACCAAAACUUGAAUUGUUAGUAAAUGACCUCCGAUUGGAAUUUUUAUGAUUUGGUUAGCUCCGUUAGAUGAUUUGGGACUUAGGAGCGUGGUCGGAAUGUGUUUUGGAGGUCUGCAGAAGGUUUAGGCUUGAAUUGGCGAAAUUGGAAUUUUGGCGUUUUUCGGUUGAUAUGUGAGAUUUUGAUAUAGGGGUCGGAAUGGAAUAACGGAAGUUGGAGUAGGUACGUUGUGUCAUUUGGGACGUGUGUGCAAAAUUUCAGGUCAUUCGGACGAGGUUUGGUAGACUUUUUGAUCAAAAGCGGAAUUUGGAAGCUCUUGGAAUUCUUAGGCUUGAAUUCGAUGUGAUUUUGGUGUUUUGAUGCUGUUUUGAGUGUUCAGAAGGUUGGGACAAGUUUGAAUGAGUUAUUUGGAAUGUUUGGUUAAGGUCCUGAGGGCCUCGGGUGAGUUUCAGAUGGUUAAACGGAUCAAUUUUAGACUUUGGACUUGGCAGUUUUUGCUGGUUUUUGUUGCAGACAAUUUGUUCUUCACGUUCACGGUCAGGGACCUGCGUUUGCGAAGGGUGUUCUCUGAGGCGGCGAAUUUUGACUUCGCAUUCGCACUUUGGGUGUCGAGUUCGCGAUGUUGUGAUGCUGUGAUUCUCCGCGUUCGCGAGGCUUAUGUCGCAUUCGCAUAGAGGAAGAGGAAUAGUUGGGUCCCCAAGGCGAUGGUUCUAUGCAUUCGCAUAGUAGAGGUCACGUUUGUGACCUGUUGAGUUUUCUGUGCAUCGCAUUCGCAAGGGGGUUAUCGCGUUCGCGUAGAAGGAAUUUUGGUCAGUGUAGUGGUGUGUUUCGUGAACGCGAGGGAUAUGCCGCGUUCGCGAUGAAGAAAUAUAUGGGCAGACAGUUUAUAUUUUUAAAAUCGAGGGUUUAAAUCCAAUAUAAUAAAAGCCAUUGGAGAGCUCGGGAGAAGGUUAAAUUUAAGGGGUUUUUCUGUGGAGCAAUUGGGGUAAGUAUUCUUCACUCAUAUUUGGUUUAAUUUCAUGAUUUAGUCUUGAAUUUCACCAUUUAAUUAAGAAAUUAGAGUGGAAAAUUGGGGGGAAAAUGGAAGAAAAGUUUGAGAAUUCAUCUAGAGAUUUGAAUGGACAAUUGAUGUCAGAUUUUGAUGAAUUUGAUAUGGGUAGAUUCUUGGGAGGAUGAGUAUUCUAUUGAUGUAAUGUUUAUCGCAUUUUGAGUUGUGGGCCCGGGGGUCGGGUUGAGAAAUUUUCGGGAUUUUUGAUGUAAAUUGGAUAUUUUCGAUUGGGCUUUGUUCCCUUAGCAUAUUUUAAUGGUUAUGUACUGAUUUUGGUUCGAUUUGGAGCAUUCGGGGGUCGAUUCGAGAGGGAAAAAACAUCGCGGGCUAGAGUUUGGACCGGAUCAAGGUGAGUAAUGAUUGUAAAUGUUGUCCUGAGGGUAUGAAUCCCCGGAUUGCACAUCGUUGUGCUAUAUUGAGGUGACGCACACGCUAGAUGACGAGCGUGAGGUCGUGCACCAUUGGGGAUUGUGACUUAGUCCAUCCCGAAUGAUUGUUUUGUCGCAUAUUUGACUGAAACGAUUUGCUAUCAUCAUAUUUUGGGCUGAAUGCCAUACUUGGGCCUCGUGCCAACUAUUUGAACCCUUAGGGGAUUUUCACUGAUAUUUCCUCACUGUUUUGACUUAAUACUUGAACUCAGUCAUGCUAUAUUCUACUAUUUUCAUAACUCAGCCAUGUUUACUCUGGUUUAACACUUAAAAUGACAUUUUGGGAUGAGCAUCAUAUUUUACUGUUGCCCGAGUGGCUUGUGAGAUUCAAACUGAGUAAGGUCGAGGGCCAAAGUUGUGAAGAAACACCUGAUUAUGGUUAUGAGGCCAAGGACCUAAGAUUUGUACACCACGAGGUGGCUUGUUGAUAUGAGGCCGAGAGCCUAUGUGAUUAUGCCACGAGAUGGAUUGAUAUUGUGCUUGGGCCAUAAGGGGACUCUCCAGGAGUCUGCACAUCCCCAGUGAGCGCGGAUACGCAUUGUGAUAUGAGAUAGAGCCCGAGGGGCUGCUAUUGUUCCAUGUGUUGCCCGAGGGGCUGAUUCUGUUGGUAUUGUGCCCGAGAGAUAGUUCUUUAUGUGUUUAACUUUUCUAGUUGCCUGUCUUUUACUUGCUUGACUGUUUAAAAAGGCAAAUUUUAAGAAGCUUAAACUGAACUUAAGUGACUUUACAUAUUUUCACUAUUUUAUUGCUUUUACUGGAUUUUAGUACUUCUUUGUAGCCUGUUGAUGUGCCUUUACGUGAUUUCUUAUUGCUCAGUCUGCAUUUAUUAUUAUUACUCACUGAGUUGGAGUACUCACUUUACUCCUUGCACCCCAUGUGUAGAUUCAGGCGCUUCAGGUCCUGCUUGCGAGGGUUGAGAGCUUCCAGCAAAUUCGGAGUUACACUAGGUAGCUGCUCGGCGUUCGUAGCCUAGUGCUUCUCCCUCUAUCUUAUUUUUUUUUGUUUUUGUUAUGUAAUAGUUGAGUAGACUCUUUCAGACAUGUAGUAUUAUUAUAGAUGCUCAUGACUGGUGACACCCCGAUGUCGGGUUAUGUCUAUUUCGCAACUGUAGUAUUCACCUUAUUUUGGGAUUUUAUUAUGUUAAAGUCUUAAUAUUUAUCAUUAUAAUUGCUUAAAAUGAAUUGGAAGUGUGUCGACUGGCCUUGUCGUCACGAGAGGUGCCAUCACAACCGGGUCCAAGUUAGGGUCGUGACAACUUACAACAACCUGUACGCAAUAAUAAUAAUAACAGAAAAGACAUGAAUGGAAGUAAAGCAGUUAAUUCAUGAUAAUAAACUCAAAUUCUAACUACCAGAGAGCCCAUAAUAACAAGUCACAUAAACUCAUCUCAAAUACCAAGGCCAAUCCAAUAGUCACAACAAAUAUAACUUUAUACAAUUCGCUGAGGCGUGCAACUCGAUCACACCAUAUCAUCAUCUGUCAAUAUCAUAAUCCCUCCUUAUUCUGCCAUUUCAAUUCAUUACCAUUCAAUUUCCGUUACGAUGUACAACCCGCUCCCCAAACAAUUUCAAUCAACAAUAACAAUUCAACAACCAAAAUUUAUAAGAAGUUCUACAUCAAAAGAGUAAAUGUACAAAGAAAUGGAGAAUAACAUAAUAAUCAAAGAAUCUCGAACAAAUCGAAUGUCUCAACUUUACCACUCCACUAUACCUAUCCAUUUAACAACUCAUACAAAUGAAACUACAUAAUUGAAGGCAAGAAAUGUUACGAAACUAUAAGACAAGAAAGACAUAAGACAAUCUAGAUAAGCAAGAAAAGCAAGUAGAGACAAGUAGCAAAUAAGUAUGAAAUUACGGAAGCGGCGGACAACAUAAUAUAAGGAUAGCUAAAUGACAAGUAACAAUUAUGGAAUGGAAGUCAAAUAAGCAUGUAGAUAUUAAGGCAUGUAACAAGAUAUUCUAUGAUGUAACAGAAAUAUGGAGCAGGUCACACAACGACGCCACUCGUCACCUUGCAUAUACGCCGUGUCACACGUAAUUCAAAUAACAUAAAUUUCAAGGGUCCCUAAUUCAUUCAAAUCAAGGUUAGACCUAACACUUACCUCACUCCACAACUUAAUCGAUCGAUCUAUCAUGGCCUUGCCAUUUGAACAAGACUCCAAACCAAUCAAAUCUAGCAAUUUACUAACUAGAUGAUUCAAAAUAAGCCUUAGAAACUACUCACGGAUAAAAGAGGUUCGAUUUAGGUCAUUUUUGAAAAAGUCAAUCCGGGCCCGCUUCGUCAAAAUCGAGAUUCAGACCAAAACCCAAUUAUCCAUUCACCCCCGAGCUCGGUUAUGUGAUUUGUUUUGAAUACGACCCUAAUUCGAGAACUAAAUCUCAAUUUAAUAAAAAUCCCUAAUUUUACCCAAAUCCUUAAUUUCUACCAUGAAAAUCCUAAAUUUGAUGUUGAAAUCUCAUGAAAUGUAAUGGGUAAUUGAAAAGAAAUUGAUUAAAGUCACUUACCAAUGAAUUUAGGAAGAAACGCCUCUUGGAAAAUAGCUUCUAGGGUGUUUAGGGUUGAGAGAUUGUGAGAAAUGAGCUAAGUCCCAUUUUUCUCCUUUUUUACCCAGCUGCGGAUGUUGCAAUUGCAAUUGUCACACCUCCUUUUUCACGGCCCGGAAGGGAUAUAAGGGAGUUUUUCCAAUUUAAGUGACAAUCAAAACGGAAUUAUUUAUAUUAAAAUCAGAGUCGCCACAUCGGAUAAUUUAUGGUGUCCCAAGUCACCGGUUUAAAAUCCCGAAUCGAGGAAGGUUGACUCUUAUUUAUGGUCUACGAACAUAGAAAUUCGGGAAAGGAAUUCUGUUAACCCAGGAGAAGGUGUUAGGCAUUCCCGGGAUCUGUGAUAUCAGCACGGUCGCUUUGAUCCUACUUGGCUUAAUCAAAUUAUCUUAUUACUCAUUUUAGAACCUAUGUGCGUUUACCUCUUAAUUAAGAAAUUAUCUUAAACUAGGUCCCGCGCACAUGUACCCAUUUAUUUGGUGCGUCAAAAAUCAUGUCACGCGAACGUGUCCACAAUUAAUAACGCUUUGUUAAUAUUAAGAAAUUUUAGUCAAAGUUGCGUAAACUCAUACUCCGAUUUUAUUUUUAAAAAUGUAAUUAUGUCACACGAACGUGUACAAAAUAUUAUCAAAACUUAUGGUGAGUUUAGCCAGGUCAUGCCGAAAACUAUCCAUGUACAGGAGAAAAGAGCACAUUCUGGAGUAUAAUUCGCCUCCAGCAAAUUUAUGAUUUGAGGAAUCCUUGCCAGACCAUUCUAACAUCAAUAAAUCAUCAAAGAUCCAAAUUUAAAAAGUAUCUCAUGGAGGCCAUAAUUUGCCCUCUUAAGCUACUGAAAAUUACUCUGCAGUAGAACCCACAGAAAAACAAGUAUAGAAGACAUUGUACAAUUCACGAUUAGUUAAUAAAUGAUAACAUUAUUUUUCUUAUCCUUUAAAGAAAAAUAUCUUUUGACUCAAUUAUAUGAAUUUAAGCAUAAUCAGAUGCUUGCCAAAACUGAAAAAUGACAUUUGAAGACCUUAUAUUAUCCGGAUGAUUAAAACAUAUGGACUGUGACUACGUAGAGAAAUCAACAAGGAACCUAGUAUUGACCUAGGCAUGUGCACUUGAAUGUAAUAGAACAUGAAGAUUUUUACCUUAAUGAAAAUUUAUAAUAAAUUAUCCAAACAAAAGAGAACAAGCUAAGGCUAUCACAAUAAUCUGAACAAAUUCCAAAAUAAAGAAAGAACAUUUGAAGACUUUAGGAAAAACUUAAGACCAUUCCAAACCACAAAAUCGACUCUUAACAUUAGCAAUUUUCCUUAACAAGAAAAACAAUAGUAAAAUAGAAAUAAAAUUCAAAAAAACAAAACUUCUGCAACUUACUAAAUCUUAGAGGAAAGGAGAGAAAACAGCACAUGGGAGAACCUAAAUGUCAUUUCAAAUCACAAAAUUGAAGUAAAAAUUAAAUUGAAAGCACUCAAAUCAAGGGAAAGAGUGAAAGCAGGGAAAGAAAAAUCAUAUUAACCCAUACUAUCUUUCGAGUUUAAGUGCACAGUCCCAGACCAAUUUCAUCAAUUAAAGACAAAAUCCAAUAACCCAAUAGAUUGAAAUUAUUGGUAAACUAUCUUUCUCUUAAUCAAGCCUAAUGAAUAUUGAUUAACGAACCCACAGUAAUUUCUAAAGCCAUUCAAAAAGAAACAAAGCAAUAUGAACAUCAACAUGAAUAAAUACUGACCAUUUCAAACAUUCAUGUACCACACAACUCCGUUUCAUCAAAAUUUACUGCACAGAAUUGAGAAGAAAGACGAGAGUAAGAAUCUGACCUCAAUUAUAUUAACAAGAAUUCAAUUACAACAAACUCUGACAAACUAAAUCUGGCCGGAAGAAGCAACAAUAGCAGGAGCUCGGACCGCAAACGGAGCUUCGACGGUGAACCUCGAGCAGAGCCCAAACCUCACGGCAAAACUAACUAUGAAAAUGCCUGCAACCUAGAACUGGUAUUUAGUGUUUGAAUAUAGGUUGCCUUUGCUGUAGCCCAGAACUGGUGUUUGACGUUGAAGCUCCGAAAUGGAGUUCUACCGGUGGAAAUGGCAAAGUUACUCAGAAAGGGUGGGGAGAUGGGCCUGAUGGCUGAGGAAGAUGGGUCGUUUGGGGUAAGGUGAAGGAUUGACGGAUCAGUGGUGAAGAGAUGUGGCUGGAGAUCUUAGGGGUGUUCAAGGUUUUCUGGUUUUGGGUGUGAAAGGUGAAGAAAAAGACGUCUGGGGGGGGGGGUCUAUGAAAAACGGCGGAUCCAGGUCUCUCUCGCAUCUAGGUCUAGGAAAUUAGGUCCUCUUAUGCUUAGGGAUUUUUA
RNAcentral lists this long non-coding RNA (10283 nucleotides) under Nicotiana tabacum (common tobacco). RNAcentral's name for it is "long non-coding RNA (NTAB_LNC008908)". Lineage: Eukaryota; Viridiplantae; Streptophyta; Magnoliopsida; Solanales; Solanaceae. The record is from RNAcentral.